RNAcentral lists this ribosomal RNA (62 nucleotides) under uncultured bacterium. RNAcentral describes it as "partial 16S ribosomal RNA". The record is from RNAcentral.
UGGUCUUGACAUACCACUGACCGUACUAGAGAUAGUAUUUUUUCUUCGGAAACAGUGGAUAC